RNAcentral lists this ribosomal RNA (508 nucleotides) under uncultured bacterium. RNAcentral's name for it is "partial 16S ribosomal RNA". It matches the Rfam family "Bacterial small subunit ribosomal RNA", at positions 30 to 523 of the family's 1533-position model. The record is from RNAcentral.
AUUGAACGCUGGCGGAAUGCUUUACACAUGCAAGUCGAGCGGCAGCGGGAAAGUAGCUUGCUACUUUUGCCGGCGAGCGGCGGACGGGUGAGUAAUGCCUGGGAAAUUGCCCUGAUGUGGGGGAUAACUACUGGAAACGGUAGCUAAUACCGCAUAAUGCCUUUGGGCCAAAAAGGGGGACCUUCGGGCCUCUCGCGUCAGGAUAUGCCCAGGGGGGAUUAGCUAGUUGGUGAGGUAAUGGCUCACCAAGGCGACGAUCUCUAGCUGGUCUGAGAGGAUGAUCAGCCACACUGGAACUGAGACACGGUCCAGACUCCUACGGGAGGCAGCAGUGGGGAAUAUUGCACAAUGGGGGAAACCCUGAUGCAGCCAUGCCGCGUGUGUGAAGAAGGCCUUCGGGUUGUAAAGCACUUUCAGCGAGGAGGAAAGGUUGGUAGCUAAUAAUUGCCAGCUGUGACGUUACUCGCAGAAGAAGCACCGGCUAACUCCGUGCCAGCCGCCGCCGUAA